RNAcentral lists this ribosomal RNA (483 nucleotides) under uncultured Clostridiaceae bacterium. Its description in RNAcentral is "bacterial SSU rRNA". It matches the Rfam family "Bacterial small subunit ribosomal RNA", at positions 33 to 507 of the family's 1533-position model. Lineage: Bacteria; Bacillati; Bacillota; Clostridia; Eubacteriales; Clostridiaceae. The record is from RNAcentral.
GAGUUGACGUCCGUGGCUCGAGACGACGCUGGCGGCGUGCCUAACACAUGCAGGUCGAGCGAUGAAGUUCCUUCGGGAACGGAUUAGCGGCGGACGGGUGAGUAACACGUGGGUAACCUGCCUUAUAGACGGGGGAUAGCUUUCCGAAAGGAAGAUUAAUACCGCAUAAAGUUGUUGAUUCGCAUGGAUCGAUAACCAAAGGAGCAAUCCGCUAUAAGAUGGACCCGCGGCGCAUUAGCUAGUUGGUGAGGUAGAAGCUCACCAAGGCGACGAUGCGUAGCUGACCUGAGAGGGUGAUCGGCCACAUUGGGACUGAGACACGGCCCAGACUCCUAUGGGAGGCAGCAGUGGGGAAUAUUGCACAAUGGGGGAAACCCUGAUGCAGCAACGCCGCGUGAGUGAUGAAGGCCUUCGGGUUGUAAAGCUCUGUCUUUGGGGACGAUAAUGACGGUACCCAAGGAGGAAGCCACGGCUAACUACGUG